GCCCCAUGUCGCACGUGCCCGUGGGCGUCCCCCGGCCCUCAAAUGCGAGGUCACCGGGACGGUACCUGGACGUAACACACCCAGUCGGUUUCGCCGCAUCGCGGAAUCGAGGACGCCUUUAAGCAACGACGGUCCGGGCCUUU
This 143-nucleotide small RNA is filed under the name Aurantimonas endophytica. RNAcentral describes it as "sRNA ar45". It matches the Rfam family "Alphaproteobacterial sRNA ar45". Lineage: Bacteria; Pseudomonadati; Pseudomonadota; Alphaproteobacteria; Hyphomicrobiales; Aurantimonadaceae. The record is from RNAcentral.